AAAAUCAGAGUUAAUCUGAACCAAAGAGAAGUUUGGGGCCAAUGUCUAAAAGGAGCAAAGCCGAGGGCCCGAAUGUGCAAAUAAUGGAAAGUUUGGUCUUCUGCCAUCGAAGAUUACAAAGCCAUCGAUCUGAGAAUCUCAAUCUGCUCGAUCCGAUGCUCUCGGCCGUGAGGCGUUUCUGCUUGUGCUCGUGGGAGACAUAGCGAUCGAUGGACGCAAACCAGACUGCUCAAUCCAUCCGCCUCGGCCCACGCUUGUUCCCUAACUGCCUGAAACGACCGAUUGGUCAGAACUGAGUCUGCUCGAUUGUAUGCCCUCGGGCUGCGACGGCUUGAACGGAGAAGACGAGCUCAUGUGGCGGCGCAGAUGAACGGAGUGGUGGUUCCAGCGAGAAAGAGAGAGUCCGAGCUUGGAGAUGGAGCACAACCAUGGCCGCAUAAGAAGACCCGAGCAGUUGCAGCGAUGGAGGAGUUGCGAAGAAGAAGAAACGCAGUCGGGAAACGCGAUUUCCAUAACGCAAACGCCAAACGCAAUUUUUUCCUGAUCGCAGCAUUUUGUUGAACUGCGAUUGACCUUUAUUUUAAUGACCUAUAAUUACUUGUUAGGAGAAAAACCCUCGGGGAUAUCUUAUCUUAGUUUUCAGAUCUAUUUUUCUCUCUUAAGAACUUUUGUACAAGCUUGAAUCUUUAUUAUCUUUAAGCAAUUUAAUCUUGUAUUAUUUUGAUUAUCUCUUCUUCUAAUCAUGAUUAGUCUAAAACUAAA
RNAcentral lists this long non-coding RNA (762 nucleotides) under Brassica napus (rape). Its description in RNAcentral is "long non-coding RNA (BNAP_LNC009970)". The record is from RNAcentral. Lineage: Eukaryota; Viridiplantae; Streptophyta; Magnoliopsida; Brassicales; Brassicaceae.